UAAUCCGAUCCAAACCGAAGUAUUUUGGGUAUCCAAAAUAGAUUUAUAUACUUAUAUAUAUAGGUAUAUUAAUUAUUUUUAGAUCUAAUAUAUAUAAAAACAUCCAGAAUAUAUAUGAUACUCUUAAGUUCAUUUAAAUACUUGAAAAUGUAUAAAAAUAAUCAAACAUAAAUAUCUAAAAUAGUUAAAAUAUACUCAAAAUUCCCAAAAUACUUAAAUAAUUAUUAAUUCUCUAUCCAAAUAUUUAAACCAAACCAAUGUAUAUGUUAAACUAGGUACUCUAACAUAUGUUAUUCAAAUUUAUAUGUAAUAUAUUAUAUUGUUUGCAGAUUUUUUUUAAAUUAAAGCAUAGAAUAAAUUUUAAAUUUUUUAAAAUAAUUUAAAUUGGUUAUCCAAAUCCGAGCCGAAUCCUCAAAGAUCUGAACUUAACACGAAACCCCAAACAGACCU
Molecule: long non-coding RNA, 450 nt
Filed under: Brassica napus (rape)
Lineage: Eukaryota; Viridiplantae; Streptophyta; Magnoliopsida; Brassicales; Brassicaceae
Description: long non-coding RNA (BNAP_LNC002685)
Source: RNAcentral